CGUGUAGGCGGCUUCGUGUGUCCCAUGUGAAAGCCCUCGGCUCAACCGGGGAACUGCAUGGGAAACUGCGGAGCUUGAGUCCGGGAGAGGUGAGUGGAAUUCCCAGUGUAGCGGUGAAAUGCGUAGAUAUUGGGAGGAACACCGGUGGCGAAGGCGGCUCACUGGACCGGUACUGACGCUGAGACGCGAAAGCCAGGGGGAGCAAAACGG
Molecule: ribosomal RNA, 210 nt
Filed under: uncultured bacterium
Lineage: Bacteria
Description: partial 16S ribosomal RNA
Rfam family: Bacterial small subunit ribosomal RNA
Source: RNAcentral